CGGCAUGCCUUACACAUGCAAGUCGAACGGCAGCGACGGGAGCAAUCCUGGUGGCGAGUGGCGAACGGGUGAGUAAUGUAUCGGAACGUACCUUCAGGUGGGGGAUAACGUAGACGAAAGUUACGCUAAUACCGCAUAUUCAGUGAGCAGGAAAGCAGGGGAUCGCAAGACCUUGCGCUGAUUGAGCGGCCGAUAUCAGAUUAGCUAGUUGGUGAGGUAAAGGCUCACCAAGGCGACGAUCUGUAGCGGGUCUGAGAGGAUGAUCCGCCACACUGGAACUGAGACACGGUCCAGACUCCUACGGGAGGCAGCAGUGGGGAAUUUUGGACAAUGGGCGCAAGCCUGAUCCAGCCAUGCCGCGUGAGUGAAGAAGGCCUUCGGGUUGUAAAGCUCUUUCAGCCGGGAAGAAAACGCAUGGGUUAAUACCCUGUGUGGAUGACGGUACCGGAAUAAGAAGCACCGGCUAACUACGUG
RNAcentral lists this ribosomal RNA (474 nucleotides) under uncultured bacterium. Its description in RNAcentral is "bacterial SSU rRNA". It matches the Rfam family "Bacterial small subunit ribosomal RNA", at positions 40 to 507 of the family's 1533-position model. The record is from RNAcentral.